UUUUCAUUUGGUGAUCAGGACGGAACACAGAGGACGCACCAUGGAGUUUGGGCCGAGCUGGGUUUUUCUUGUUGCUAUUUUAAAAGGUGUCCAGUGUGAGGUGCAGCUGGUGGAGUCUGGGGGAGGCUUGGUCCAGCCUGGCGGGUCCCUGAGACUCUCCUGUGUAGCCUCUGGAUUCACCUUCAGUGACUACUGCAUGGACUGGGUCCGCCAGGCUUCAGGGAAGGGGCUGGAGUGGGUCUCAAGUAUUAGUGGUAGCAGUAGUAACACAUACUACCCAGACUCUGUCAAGGGCCGAUUCACCAUCUCCAGAGACAACGCCAAGAACACGCUGUAUCUGCAAAUGAACAGCCUGAGAGCCGAGGACACGGCUGUCUAUUACUGUGCGAGAGACACAUUCUGCUCUGAUAGAAUCUGGCCCACUCAUUUUAUCAUUGACAAUCUACCUAACCUAGAGUCAACUGAUGACAAACCUGUGCAUGCCGACAACUGUGUUUCUCAUUGCCCUCUUGGGCUUGUGAAGCCCUCACAGACCCUCUCCCUCAUCUGUGCUGUCUCUGCAUUCUCCAUCAAACCAGUGCUCCCUGCUGGAUCUGGAUCCAUCAGCCCGCAGGGAAGAAACCAGACUGGAUCAGGUGCACAGCUCAUGAGGGAGUGCACAACCUAA
This is a non-coding RNA of Macaca mulatta (Rhesus monkey), 667 nucleotides long. The record is from the annotation of a RefSeq genome assembly. NCBI's taxonomy places the organism in Eukaryota, Metazoa, Chordata, Mammalia, Primates, Cercopithecidae.